Molecule: ribosomal RNA, 301 nt
Filed under: uncultured bacterium
Lineage: Bacteria
Description: partial 16S ribosomal RNA
Rfam family: Bacterial small subunit ribosomal RNA
Source: RNAcentral
CAGUCCCGCGGUAAUACAGAGGGUGCGAGCGUUAAUCGGAUUUACUGGGCGUAAAGCGUGCGUAGGCGGCUUCUUAAGUCGGAUGUGAAAUCCCUGAGCUUAACUUAGGAAUUGCAUUCGAUACUGGGAAGCUAGAGUAUGGGAGAGGAUGGUAGAAUUCCAGGUGUAGCGGUGAAAUGCGUAGAGAUCUGGAGGAAUACCGAUGGCGAAGGCAGCCAUCUGGCCUAAUACUGACGCUGAGGUACGAAAGCAUGGGGAGCAAACAGGAUUAGAUACCCCCGUAGUCCCUGUCUCUUAUACA